UACGUAGGGGGCAAGCGUUAUCCGGAUUUACUGGGUGUAAAGGGAGCGUAGGCGGUGCAGCAAGUCAGAAGUGAAAGCCCGGGGCUCAACUCCGGGACUGCUUUUGAAACUGUUGAACUAGAUUGCAGGAGAGGUAAGUGGAAUUCCUAGUGUAGCGGUGAAGUGCGUAGAUAUUAGGAGGAACACCAGUGGCGAAGGCGGCUUACUGGACUGUAAAUGACGCUGAGGCUCGAAAGCGUGGGGAGCAAACAGG
RNAcentral lists this ribosomal RNA (253 nucleotides) under uncultured bacterium. RNAcentral describes it as "partial 16S ribosomal RNA". It matches the Rfam family "Bacterial small subunit ribosomal RNA", at positions 524 to 776 of the family's 1533-position model. The record is from RNAcentral.